GCAUAUCAAUAAGCGGAGGAAAAGAAACCAACAGGGAUUGCCCUAGUAACGGCGAGUGAAGCGGCAACAGCUCAAAUUUGAAAUCUGGCUCUUUUAGAGUCCGAGUUGUAAUUUGCAGAGGGCGCUUUGGCUUUGGCAGCGGUCCAAGUUCCUUGGAACAGGACGUCACAGAGGGUGAGAAUCCCGUACGUGGUCGCUAGCUAUUGCCGUGUAAAGCCCCUUCGACGAGUCGAGUUGUUUGGGAAUGCAGCUCUAAAUGGGAGGUAAAUUUCUUCUAAAGCUAAAUAUUGGCCAGAGACCGAUAGCGCACAAGUAGAGUGAUCGAAAGAUGAAAAGCACUUUGGAAAGAGAGUCAAACAGCACGUGAAAUUGUUGAAAGGGAAGCGCUUGCAGCCAGACUUGCUUGCAGUUGCUCAUCCGGGCUUUUGCCCGGUGCACUCUUCUGCAGGCAGGCCAGCAUCAGUUUGGGCGGUGGGAUAAAGGUCUCUGACACGUUCCUCUCUUCGGGGAGGCCAUAUAGGGGAGACGUCAUACCACCAGCCUGGACUGAGGUCCGCGCAUCUGCUAGGAUGCUGGCGUAAUGGCUGUAAGCGGCCCGUCUUGAAACACGGACCAAGGAGUCUAACAUCUAUGCGAGUGUUUGGGUGUCAAGCCCGAACGCGUAAUGAAAGUGAACGGAGGUGGGAACCCGCAAGGGCGCACCAUCGACCGAUCCUGAAGUUUACGGAAGGAUUUGAGUAAGAGCAUGGCUGUUGGGACCCGAAAGAUGGUGAACUAUGCUUGAAUAGGGUGAAGCCAGAGGAAACUCUGGUGGAGGCUCGCAGCGGUUCUGACGUGCAAAUCGAUCGUCAAAUUUGGGCAUAGGGGCGAAAGACUAAUCGAACUAUCUAGUAGCUG
RNAcentral lists this ribosomal RNA (897 nucleotides) under Acrothecium nigrum. RNAcentral's name for it is "LSU rRNA". It matches the Rfam family "Eukaryotic large subunit ribosomal RNA", at positions 38 to 953 of the family's 3401-position model. The record is from RNAcentral. Lineage: Eukaryota; Fungi; Ascomycota.